Molecule: ribosomal RNA, 288 nt
Filed under: uncultured archaeon
Lineage: Archaea
Description: partial 16S ribosomal RNA
Rfam family: Archaeal small subunit ribosomal RNA
Source: RNAcentral
GCGCGAAAACUUUGCAAUGCGGGAAACCGUGACAGGGGAACUCCGAGUGCCCGUUAAAUCGGGCUGUCCAUCGGUUUAAAUAACCGGUGAAGAAAGGGCCGGGCAAGACCGGUGCCAGCCGCCGCGGUAAUACCGGCGGCUCGAGUGGUGGCCACUAUUACUGGGCUUAAAGCGUUCGUAGCUGGUUUGUUAAGUCUCUGGGGAAAUCUUCCGGCUUAACCGGAAGGCGUCUCAGGGAUACUGGCAGACUAGGGACCGGGAGAGGUGAGGGGUACUCCAGGGGUAGGA